This 465-nucleotide ribosomal RNA is filed under the name uncultured bacterium. Its description in RNAcentral is "partial 16S ribosomal RNA". It matches the Rfam family "Bacterial small subunit ribosomal RNA", at positions 28 to 507 of the family's 1533-position model. The record is from RNAcentral.
GAUGAACGCUGGCGGCGUGCUUAACACAUGCAAGUCGAACGGAAAGGCUCCUGCUUGCAGGGGUACUCGAGUGGCGAACGGGUGAGUAACACGUGGGUGAUCUGCCCUGCACUUCGGGAUAAGCCUGGGAAACUGGGUCUAAUACCGGAUAGGACCACAUUUUGGAUGGUGUGGUGGAAAGUUUUUCGGUGUGGGAUGAGCUCGCGGCCUAUCAGCUUGUUGGUGGGGUAAUGGCCUACCAAGGCGUCGACGGGUAGCCGGCCUGAGAGGGUGUACGGCCACAUUGGGACUGAGAUACGGCCCAGUCUCCUACGGGAGGCAGCAGUGGGGAAUAUUGCACAAUGGGCGCAAGCCUGAUGCAGCGACGCCGCGUGGGGGAUGACGGCCUUCGGGUUGUAAACUCCUUUCGCUAGGGACGAAGCGCAAGUGACGGUACCUGGAGAAGAAGCACCGGCUAACUACGUG